Non-coding RNA from Podarcis lilfordi (Lilford's wall lizard), 70 nucleotides. The record is from the annotation of a GenBank genome assembly. Lineage: Eukaryota; Metazoa; Chordata; Lepidosauria; Squamata; Lacertidae.
GUGUAGCUCAGUUGGGUAGAGCGUGAGACUCUUAACCUCAGGGCCACAGGUUCAUGUCCUACAUUGUACA